UUUAUAGUAUCAAACGGGUAAACAAAUAAGGAGUUAAUCCCUAUUUAAGGAACUGAUAUCAACUAUAAUCAAAUAAGUAUGGGGACUCCCCUUUAAUUAAUGAAUCAUAGUCAAACGGUACCAAUCAGUCAUUCAAAAGGAAAGGAACUACUAGGUAGGUCUUGACCACAUAAGGAAAUAAAAAUAGCAUAAAGUAUACAAUGCAGACUAGGUACAUGAGGCUUUAACCAGGGAAACUUGUCAAGCAAAUAUGUAGACAUACUCGUAC
This 268-nucleotide long non-coding RNA is filed under the name Nicotiana benthamiana. RNAcentral's name for it is "long non-coding RNA (NBEN_LNC014668)". Lineage: Eukaryota; Viridiplantae; Streptophyta; Magnoliopsida; Solanales; Solanaceae. The record is from RNAcentral.